CUCUCCAUCUCUCUUUCUCUUUCUUUCCCUUUGCUUCCCCUUCUCCCUUUUCUCCCCCCUCCCUUGCUCUUCCUUCCCUGUCGUUCAACUUCUACCACAUUGCACAAAUACAAAGCUCUCAUUGUCAACUACGUUAAUUUUGAAAAUUAAAAUAGGCCAAAGAAGGAGACAUAUCACACAUGUCUCCCCGGACAACUACAACAUCGAGUCGAAAAGGAAAAGGCUGUUUCAGAUAGACGAAAAGGAGCAAGUAUUUGGUUGGUUCUGCUACAAAGGGUCGUGUAACUAUUUCCUUCAAAUUAAAACCUGCCUUCCUAGAAGGGAGUUCCGACGGCUCAGGACAAGAAUCUAAAACUGUUCUAGAAGCUCAGAAAGCUAAAGAUUGCAAGACUCCUCCCAAAAUUUGUAAAAGCAGUAAACAACUGAUGGCCCAGAGGAGCUGCCUGCAGGUCGGGUCAGAGAGCUCCAGGUGCAGUUGAAGCAGUUCUCACCCAUGCUGCGGUGGGAUACUGGUGACAGGGCUGCUUUGGGUCACCAUGCUCCUUCCUGUGGAAGAGCGCGGGUCAGAACAGAUAUGGUAACUCACGCAUGAUAAAACUCACCCAAACACUAGGAGAACUGGG
This is a long non-coding RNA of Peromyscus leucopus (white-footed mouse), 623 nucleotides long. RefSeq lists it as uncharacterized. NCBI's taxonomy places the organism in Eukaryota, Metazoa, Chordata, Mammalia, Rodentia, Cricetidae. The transcript is spliced from 3 exons. The record is from RefSeq and is a predicted model, not a curated record.